AAAAGUAUUGGCCUCUAGGGCUUACACCAACAACUUCUUCUUAUGCAACCUUUGAAUUACUUUCUUGAUCUUUCUUUCCUCCUCAAUAUUGACUGGCAUAAUGUCGCCUUCCAACAACCACAUGCUUUUUUUUUCUUUGGCUCCUCAACAUAUUUCUUGCCUCCUCUUUGAUGGAAUUACUUAGUAUUUAUGUCGCCUUCCAACAACCACAUGCUUUUUUUU
RNAcentral lists this long non-coding RNA (222 nucleotides) under Lathyrus oleraceus (garden pea). RNAcentral's name for it is "Pisum sativum (pea) long non-coding RNA (PSAT_LNC008740)". The record is from RNAcentral. Lineage: Eukaryota; Viridiplantae; Streptophyta; Magnoliopsida; Fabales; Fabaceae.